This 347-nucleotide transfer-messenger RNA is filed under the name Desulfobacterales. RNAcentral's name for it is "JABHLN01 sp018693105 Standard tmRNA". It matches the Rfam family "transfer-messenger RNA". Rfam says of the family: Bacterial tmRNA, also known as 10Sa RNA or SsrA, is named for its dual tRNA and mRNA-like properties. Its role is to liberate the mRNA from a stalled ribosome. The record is from RNAcentral. Lineage: Bacteria; Pseudomonadati; Thermodesulfobacteriota; Desulfobacteria. RNAcentral also lists the same sequence under 2 other names.
GGGGGCGAAACGGCUUCGACGGGGAUUAAGAUGCUUUGGUUGCAUGACGAGUCCCACCAUCUCGUAAAAAGGUGGACAUAACAUAAUCGCAGACGAUUAUAACUACGCCAUGGCCGCUUAAAGGCCAUCGUCCUUCCGGGUUUUUCCUGCAAACCUGGUUUGGACGCGACUAGCAGGAUAGCUGAUUCUGGAUUCCUGUUUCAUUAUCAGCAAACUUUCACAGGAUAGUCUUAAAAGCAUCCCGCCUGGAGGAGGCUUUAAAGGCGAAUGCCAAAGUUCAGGAUAUGCAUGUAGACGCCAUUGUUGAAGGUUUCCGGACGCGGGUUCGACUCCCGCCGCCUCCACCA